This 500-nucleotide ribosomal RNA is filed under the name uncultured bacterium. RNAcentral's name for it is "partial 16S ribosomal RNA". It matches the Rfam family "Bacterial small subunit ribosomal RNA", at positions 30 to 523 of the family's 1533-position model. The record is from RNAcentral.
AUUGAACGCUGGCGGCAUGCCUUACACAUGCAAGUCGAACGGCAGCACGGGAGCAAUCCUGGUGGCGAGUGGCGAACGGGUGAGUAAAGUAUCGGAACGUGCCCAGUCGUGGGGGAUAACGUAGCGAAAGUUGCGCUAAUACCGCAUACGAUCUAUGGAUGAAAGCGGGGGAUCGCAAGACCUCGCGCGAUUGGAGCGGCCGAUAUCAGAUUAGGUAGUUGGUGGGGUAAAGGCUCACCAAGCCGACGAUCUGUAGCUGGUCUGAGAGGACAACCAGCCACACUGGGACUGGGACACGUCCCAGACUCCUACGGGAGGCAGCAGUGGGGAAUUUUGGACAAUGGGCGCAAGCCUGAUUCAGCCAUGCCGCGUGCAGGAUGAAGGCCUUCGGGUUGUAAACUGCUUUUGUACGGAACGAAAAGGUUUGGCUUAUUACGUUGAACUCAUAACGGUACCGUAAGAAUAAGCACCGGCUAACUACGUGCCAGCAGCCGCCGUAA